This 360-nucleotide ribosomal RNA is filed under the name Aculops sienses. Its description in RNAcentral is "partial small subunit ribosomal RNA". The record is from RNAcentral. Lineage: Eukaryota; Metazoa; Arthropoda; Arachnida; Trombidiformes; Eriophyidae.
CUUGAGGCAAGAGUGACGGGCGAUUUGUGCAUACUUGAUUUCUUCUUUUAGAAAGAUUUAUUGUUUCUUAAUUUAUUAUCAAGUCCCAUUUCAUACUUUUUUAAAUAGAAAUUCACAAUUUAAAUCUUUGUAUCCCACUUAACUCUUAAUUAUAGACUCUGUCCUGAUUUGUUUUACCCCCUUGCAGGGGCUAAAUUCUUUUUUAGAAUAAAACUUUAAAACAAUGAUAUAGAAACUUAUAAAUUAAGUCAUACUUAAUCGUGGGUUAUCUAUCACGGAGCAGGAUCCCCUACAUAGUUCUAGUACCGCCAUUCCACAUAGGUUUGGUUUAUCUAACUACUAACAUAUUUUUAUUUAAAA